GCCUGCGCUGCGAACCCAUUGCCCACCCCGCCGGCAGCGCAGUGGUAACGGCCGUGGGCACUGACAGGGGAGGCGGCGGGACAGCGCUGGCAGCCCCGGGCGCGGGGGCUUCGGCCCUCGGGAGGGGGCUGCUGCGCUGCCGCGGCGGAUCCUUGCCACUGCCGCCGAGCCCUGCCGCCGUCCCCUCCUCUUUCAGCUGCCGGAGCCCUGUCAGAGCGGAGCCGGUGUUCCCGCGCCGGCCGAGAGCUCCAGGCCCGGCGGAGGAGCCCUGCCGCAAGCGGAAGCCCAGGUGCAAUACAGCAUCAAAAUUCAAUUGGCAAUCCAUGUCGCUUACAAGCAUUGGAAGAUUCUAUUACGAAGAUGACUACUUGGGCUAAGUGCUACAUGUGAGAACGAUGCAGCAGCAGCGCCGUGGUCUGUGUUCACCCUGCUCAGUUGAGAAACUAGAUCUACAAGUGAUAAAAUGCUGAAAGUGCUUAGCAGUGGGAGGAAUACAUAGUUUGCCUGUGUUGUUAUUCACCUCUCUAUUCCUCUUUUAUUUGGUGGAGGGAAGUAAUAAAAACGGAGAAUAACAACUCAAAAUAUUGAGAAGCUUAUAACCUGAGUCAGUUCUGCAUCGAAAUGAGAUUGUGUUGCUGGUAACGUUGCACUGAGGGCUGAGAUUUAGGAAGGUGGGAGGACGGGGGCUGUAGCUCUGCCUCCUCUGCUGCCAGUGCUGCUCCUGUCACAUGAUGUGACUGCACAGUCCUCUGCUCGCACUGCAGCUGCACUCGCCCUGGCAUGUGCCAGCCAGAUUUCGCCUCUUUUUGCAUCACUUGUGUGCUGGUUUAGCUCUGUUGGCUUUAAAUGGAGUUGCUGAUAAACUGCUGCGGUAUAAAUGGAUAAUGGGAAUUCAUUUGAUCCUCUGGACACCUUGAUUUGUUGGUUUGUCUUUCAUUCUGUGUGGUGGCAAGGAAGGAAGAGUUCUGGUGUGAAAGUCUGUUCUGAGGGGAUGCCUAAAUAGCUAAAAUUGAACUGUAUUUUAAAGAAAUUCCCCCAACAUCCCUUUCCCAGCCCCCUAAAGCAUGCUACAGCCAUCAGAGUCUUAUCACAGAAAUCUCUGUCUUGAUGUCUUUUUUUGCAGAACUUUUCAUAGCUUUUUUCCAUCUAAAUGUUCAGUUGAAGCAAUCUUUGUAGAAGGAAAACCAGGACCUGUACAUGCAAGCGGUAUAAUAAUUUUCUUUGGUAUUCUUGCAUAAGAACGUUCUGCAGGCUUGGCUUUUGUAGCUGGGCUGCUGUCUUUAAGCACAUAAGCUCUGUUCUGGAUGUGUCGUUUUUAAACAGGCUAGAAAUGGAGGUAUGGAAUGGGGUACGUGUUGCAGCAGAAGGAAACAGUUUAAAGGAGCAGACCAAAUUGUGUGUGGGAGCUGCAUGGCGGGUCAAAUAGAGGUCUGUUUCUAUAAAGUAUGUAAGUUAGUUGCCAACACAAAUAUUACCUAGCAGUUUACAUGUGCUGAGAGAACACAGUACAGCCCUGCAACAGGAAUAGAAUAGAAGAACCAUCAAUCUGGUUCCCUGAGGAUGUCAGUCAAGAAAGGAAGUGAGCGGUGCCAAAAAGCCUAGAUGGAACAGCAGGUUUAGAGGACUCGUCGUUUGAAGUAUUUUUAAUUAUUGCUAUUAUUAUAAUGGAACACAGACUAGAGGCUGAAUUUUUAAAAUAUAAUUAAAGCAGAAGUCAGCAGAGGGAUUUCUCUGCUGUGUGGCUGAGGAAUGGUCCAGGAGCAGCUCCUGCUGAGGAGGGUGAAUUCCCAGAGUGGUGAUGCUCUCCGUGCAAUUCCUGAGCUUGCUCGCAACUUGCUGCCAAACACAGUUUGGAGGGAAGAAGUGAACUGAACAGAUCAAAAAGCUUUCCCGUGUACUGCAUUCUCUUUUGUCAGGGUAAGGCUCCAGUUGGAAAGCAGCCACUGAUACCUUGGCUGAGAGUGCUGACAAGAUGCAGAGUGUGAGGAUAACUGCCCUCCGGAUCGGACGCUGGCCUGAGCUGCCAUUUGGGCCAUCGAGUAAAUCAUUUGACUUGCCAGAAAGAACUCUUUCCGUCACAUUAACAUCAAGCUACUUCAUACAGCAACCGUUCAGUUCUUAAUUAAUGAGUGUGCACCAAGGAGUUAAAACAUCAGUCAUUUUCUGAGUAAAGAAAGGAAAAAAAAAAAAUUAAUCUUGUAACUCUGAUGCUUUUCAGGAAUUUGGCCGCUCUAGAUGCGAGAGGCAUGUGCUUUUCCGCCCUGCUUUAGGUGAUGGCUUAGUUCAAGGGGGCCCAGAUUUGGCUCAGUCAACAGUUGUGUUGGCGUCUUGCCAUUAAAUGUGCAUAAAAUGGAGCUGACUGCAAUUCCCUCCUCACUCUAACAUGGAGGGGCAGCCCCGGGAGACCUGAGGCCCCGGUAUGCCUUGCUGUAGGUUGACUUGGCUACGAGAGGUGUACUGGGAGGUGCAAUCCCUGCAGCAUAAGCUGCUGUGUUGUGACUUGAUUGUUGCUUUUGAGUCCCUGGGUUGUAUUUUGGUGUCUUGUCAUAACUAAUGCAUUUCAACCCUUGUUGUGCCUGUGCUUCCAAAACCUUUCUCCAUUCUCACAGCGGCUUACGUGCUUUUCCAGAUGUACAAGGUUUGUAUCUCAUUUGCAGACUCUUCCUAUGACUUCAUGGCUUAUGUGCAUUGCCACAAAAUGAAGAUAAAAUACAACUGGCAUUUUAGCUGCUCCAAGAACAUUGUGUGUAAAUAAACCACUAAAUAGUUUAGCUUGUGAAAUGUAAAUACACAGAGCUCGGCCUGCCGCAGCGGAUGGUGUUUUUCUAUCUCCCUUCUUCCCCUCCCACCUCUGCCAAGAGUAGGCUAGCCUGAUGUUCUUUUUUCUAUUGCUCUUUCAUACAAUGCAAAUGACUACUGAGUACCAUGUAGGUGGCAUGCAGGCACCACUACAGAUUCAUGAUUUGAAUUUGGAUGAAAGGAAACACUUGCAUCCUCUUCCACAUUGCUUCUGAACCAUCUUCUGUGAAUUCCUGGACUCUGACGACCCAGAAAUUCUGCCUCGGUCUGACUUUGAGCUUGAGCUCAUUUUUAGUAGCACGCUAGUUAAGUCGGUAGAAGAGCAGAGGCCCAACUGUGAUGACAUUUUUAGCCUUUGCCCUUUGUUCAUCCUAUACACAAAAGGUCAUGAACUGCAGUGAAAGAGGGAUCACAGAGGGCGCAGAACGGACAAAGGUGGAACAAAUUGCCAGUGGCAGAAACAUAAAGAAGAGAAGCAAAAGUUUUGUAUUAUGAAGGUAAUUGAAAAAGGCCACGUGCAUCCCAUGGUGAUAACCAUGUCUCUCGUAUUUAAAGUGAGUCUGCCCAUAGUGAAUUUAGAAGAGUCUGUUGGUGAGGUGUGGCUUGGAUGAUCGCAAUGUAGAAGGCAGAAGGGACAACACUGUUUCCAUGGUAUGAUGUUAAUGAGCAGCUCUGCGUUGUGCUGGGAGAAAAGAUGCUAAAGCUGCAGCUCUGCAUACAGACAGGUGUGCUUUAACCAAUAAAAGGGUUUUUAAAGAUGUAUAAUACAAAUGAAAAGCCUGAUUCUAUAGACCAAGCACUUAUCUGAAGCUAAAAUAGUAGGAUUGACACUCCAUCCUGGAUAUUCAAGCUCAUUUGACUUGGAAUGCGGUUGAAUUUGUGGUGUACGCUGUUUCCCUAUAGCAAGUCUUGAGGCUGUUCCUGCUGAGAUGUCAAAGGUAAUGCAGAGGUGGCAGCUCAUGGUAACUCUGAGGUCUAAAUAUAAGACAGUGUUUGCAAAACUUCUGGUCU
Long non-coding RNA from Strigops habroptila (Kakapo), 3810 nucleotides. The record is from Ensembl. NCBI's taxonomy places the organism in Eukaryota, Metazoa, Chordata, Aves, Psittaciformes, Psittacidae.